Long non-coding RNA from Juglans microcarpa x Juglans regia, 745 nucleotides. RefSeq lists it as uncharacterized. The record is from RefSeq and is a predicted model, not a curated record. NCBI's taxonomy places the organism in Eukaryota, Viridiplantae, Streptophyta, Magnoliopsida, Fagales, Juglandaceae. The transcript is spliced from 2 exons.
ACGAGUGACCCACUCGAUCUCUGCAUGCAUGCAGUUCCGAAACUCCGGCCUUUCUAUAGCUUCACCACAAGAACCCCACGAGAACCUCUCGAUCUCUGCUGCAAUGGCAGCUCCGGAAUCCGUUAUGGCGAACGAACUCGUCCACGCCAAUGAACUCAACGGUGUUUGAUCUUAAGUGCAGUAAGAUAGAGAUAUAUUUUCCCAGAGAAAUGAGCUUUGGAUGUGGAAUGAUUUGGCUUUCAUCAGCCUCCUUUAAACUCUAUUAAUCAUCUACACCUUCACUGUCUGGGGCUACCCUACACACCGAGGUUAGUUUUGUGGUAUUUCUUUGGUGCUCUAUAUUAUUUAAUCAGUUGAUAUUGUUCUUUAAGGUUGCAGACAUGCCUUUUAUUCUUGACGAGCUUGAACAGAUUGGAAAAGUAUAAAAUUCUUGUCCCGUGGGUCAAUUGGAUUUCUUGAAGCUGAGAAGUUAUUGGAGAAGCUAAAGCUAUUGCCACCUGUUAUUUCAAAAGUUUGAUUCACUCAUAAUUUAGGUCCAUUAUACAAAGCAAAGAUUUGGAUUUCGCCAAUAAGCUUCGGUAUACAUUCUAAUGUAAUUUUCUGUCUUGUUGCAAUGUUGUGUUGUGUUGAAUUUCGUGAGGUGCAGUUUUCCUUCAAGAGUACCUGAUCUCCUGUUAUACUGUCAAAUCUUCUCUCCCAAAAAACAAAGUAUGAAAUCAACUUGGUCACUGUCGUUUUAAGUUUA